RNAcentral lists this ribosomal RNA (197 nucleotides) under uncultured bacterium. RNAcentral's name for it is "partial 16S ribosomal RNA". It matches the Rfam family "Bacterial small subunit ribosomal RNA", at positions 335 to 524 of the family's 1533-position model. The record is from RNAcentral.
ACUCCUACGGGAGGCAGCAGUGGGGAAUAUUGCACAAUGGGGGAAACCCUAAUGCAGCCAUGCCGCGUGUGUGAAGAAGGCCUUCGGGUUGUAAAGCACUUUCAGCGAUGAGGAAAGGUCAGUAGCUAAUAUCUGCUGGCUGUGACGUUACUCGCAGAAGAAGCACCGGCUAACUCCGUGCCAGCAGCCGCGGUAAU